Molecule: long non-coding RNA, 225 nt
Filed under: Trifolium pratense (red clover)
Lineage: Eukaryota; Viridiplantae; Streptophyta; Magnoliopsida; Fabales; Fabaceae
Description: long non-coding RNA (TPRA_LNC008215)
Source: RNAcentral
CACUAACACUGCUCCAAGCCCUAUUCAAUAACCGAGACAUCUCUGAAUUAAGAUUAUUUUUAAAAUUUAUACAGAUUGACCUUGAACUUUUAUUUCAAAAUUUUCUUAUCUUUUCUUUACUAGGUGACUCUCUCUCUCCUCCCCUUAUUUUUGUUUAAGCUUUAGAUGAAUAUACAACUAGGCUAAACCAACGGUUUCACUGCCCUACCCUCGGGUCUUACUACC